Molecule: ribosomal RNA, 231 nt
Filed under: uncultured bacterium
Lineage: Bacteria
Description: partial 16S ribosomal RNA
Rfam family: Bacterial small subunit ribosomal RNA
Source: RNAcentral
UGAGGAACAUGACCUUCGGCGGGGGAUAGCCGGCCCAACGGCCGGGUAAUACCGCGUACGACCACUUUGAGACAUCCCUCGGUGGUGAAAGCAGCAAUGCGCCGAUGGAGUGCCUCGCGGCCUAUCAGCUAGUUGGUGAGGUAACGGCUCACCAAGGCGACGGACGGGUAGCUGGUCUGAGAGGAUGGCCAGCCACAUUGGGACUGAGACACGGCCCAGCCUCCGUAGGAG